Silurus meridionalis is the source of this 472-nucleotide long non-coding RNA. RefSeq lists it as uncharacterized. The transcript has 3 exons. NCBI's taxonomy places the organism in Eukaryota, Metazoa, Chordata, Actinopteri, Siluriformes, Siluridae. The record is from RefSeq and is a predicted model, not a curated record.
UUUGGACAAGGAUCAGGACCAAUCUGGAUGAACAAUGUACGCUGUAAAGGAUCAGAGUCAAUGCUGAAGAAGUGUAGGUCAGCAGAAUGGGGGAAAAAUAGCUGUAGUCAUGCUUCUGAUGUGGGAGUCACCUGCUCAGAGCAUAAACCAAAAGAUAAAGAAGAAUCUGCACAGAAGUCAGCAAUUCUCACAGACAGUGUGAGGUUGAUGGAUGGUGGAAGUCGUUGUAAAGGGAGAGUGGAGGUUCUUCGUGAGGGACAGUGGGGAACAGUGUGUCGUUCUGCAUGGGAUUUGAAAGAUGCUGCAGUGGUGUGUAGAGAACUGCACUGUGGAGAAGCUGAAAAAGCACUUCAUUAUGCUGAGUUUGGACAAGGAUCAGGACCAAUCUGGAUAUAUGAUUUGUAUUGUGGAGGAUCCGAACUGACAUUAAACAAUUGUAGCUCACAAGGAGGACACGUGUGUGGUCAUGUUC